RNAcentral lists this long non-coding RNA (670 nucleotides) under Anser cygnoides (Swan goose). Its description in RNAcentral is "lncRNA (ENSACDG00005012518.1)". The record is from RNAcentral. Lineage: Eukaryota; Metazoa; Chordata; Aves; Anseriformes; Anatidae.
CUCUAGCCCUAAUCAAUAGUUUGAAUUUACUUGGUUAACUGCAGCUGCAAUCAUAUGCUGAUUUCACUUUCACUGACGUAAAAUGAAAGUGGCUGCAUCAGAAUCAAUUGAGUUAUAUUAGCGUGAAGCACUUUUAGAAGAUGUUGGAAUUGGGCCCAAAAAGAGUUUUCUUGCUGCUAACCUGGAAGCUGAUGAUAGAUCAGGAUUGUAGUCGAGGAAUCGAGUCUCAUAAGCUAUUGCUUUAACCACUGAUCCACAGCAGAACUCUCUGGGCCUGUUUCCUUUAUGCAUCUGUACGAUCAAGUCUUGCCUGGGACCUACUGCCUGGAGCUGAGAGACCUCGACCUUCAGGACCCUGGUAAUAGUAUAUGGAUUGUGUUGGAGAUAAAAGAUUGUACAAAUAUUGGAUGAAAUAUCUCCCUAGCAAACAGUCCUGUUGGUAAGCAGUUUGUAUAUGUUUUCUUCUCUUUUGCAAUAUAUAAUGGUGAGCUAUGCAAAGGCAAGUUUAUAUCAUGUUCAAAUAGACAUUUACUAAAUACAAAAAAUAUUUAAAAUGUCUACAGUUGUCUCUCCCCUUCUGAAAUAACUUCAGAACCACCAGAUUAACUUUCCACUCUUGAGAGAAAAGUUUUCAGUUUGUGUUUUGUGUAACUGUAUAUUACAAAGUUUU